GGUCCAGACUUUGAUUAUGGCUCAGGAUGAACGCUAGCUACAGGCUUAACACAUGCAAGUCGAGGGGAAACGAUAUUGGAAGCUUGCUUCCGAUAGGCGUCGACCGGCGCACGGGUGAGUAACGCGUAUCCAACCUGCCCAUCACUUGGGAAUAACCUUGCGAAAGUAAGACUAAUGCCCAAUGACAUUUAUAGAAGGCAUCGGAAAUGAAUUAAAGAUUUAUCGGUGAUGGAUGGGGAUGCGUCUGAUUAGCUUGUUGGCGGGGUAACGGCCCACCAAGGCGACGAUCAGUAGGGGUUCUGAGAGGAAGGUCCCCCACAUUGGAACUGAGACACGGUCCAAACUCCUACGGGAGGCAGCAGUGAGGAAUAUUGGUCAAUGGGCGAGAGCCUGAACCAGCCAAGUAGCGUGCAGGAUGACGGCCCUAUGGGUUGUAAACUGCUUUUAUAGGGGAAUAAAGUGAGCCACGCGUGGUUUUUUGCAUGUACCCUAUGAAUAAGGACCGGCUAAUUCCGUGCCAGCAGCCGCGGUAAUACGGAAGGUCCGGGCGUUAUCCGGAUUUAUUGGGUUUAAAGGGAGCGUAGGCCGGAGAUUAAGCGUGUUGUGAAAUGUAGAUGCUCAACAUCUGAACUGCAGCGCGAACUGGUUUCCUUGAGUACGCAUAAAGUGGGCGGAAUUCGUGGUGUAGCGGUGAAAUGCUUAGAUAUCACGAAGAACUCCGAUUGCGAAGGCAGCUCACUGGGGCGCAACUGACGCUGAAGCUCGAAAGCGCGGGUAUCGAACAGGAUUAGAUACCCUGGUAGUCCGCGCGGUAAACGAUGGAUGCCCGCUGUUGGGUCAACUGGUUCAGCGGCCAAGCGAAAGCAUUAAGCAUCCCACCUGGGGAGUACGCCGGCAAGGGUGCAACUCAAAGGAAUUGACGG
RNAcentral lists this ribosomal RNA (923 nucleotides) under uncultured Bacteroidota bacterium. Its description in RNAcentral is "bacterial SSU rRNA". It matches the Rfam family "Bacterial small subunit ribosomal RNA", at positions 1 to 916 of the family's 1533-position model. Lineage: Bacteria; Pseudomonadati; Bacteroidota. The record is from RNAcentral.